AUCAGUAGCUUGUUACUUUUUAUGUUUGACUUCUAUUCUGUUACUUACCUACACCAUAUUUUAUCUAUCUCUUCUGCAGUUUAUGGGAUUUAGGUCGUUUCCACGUUUUGGCUGUUCUAAAUAAUGCUGCUCUGAGCAUUCACAUACAAGCUUUUCACAUGAUUUCAUUUCUCCAGAUCUAGGAGUGCAAUUGCUAUAUUAUAUGGCAACUCCGUGUUUCACUUUUUGACAAAGUGCCAGACUGCUUUUCAAAGGACAGCAUCAUUUUAUAUUCCUGCCAGCAACGUCGAGGGGUCCAGUUUCCACACAUUCUCACAAACACUUACUGUUAUCUGUCUCUCUAGUUAUUGCCUUCCUGAUGGAUGUGGAGUGCUUUCUCAUUGGUUUUGAUUUGCAUUGUUUAAAUGAGUUAUAAGAUUGAGCAUGUUUUCAUGUUUAUUGGCUGCUUGUAUAUCUUCUUUGGAGAAAUGUCUAUUCAGAUUGUCUCCCCAUUUUAAAAUUGUGUUAUUUUAUUUUUUACUAUUGACUUGUGAAUGUUCAAACAUGUAUAUAUAUAUAUAUAUAUAUUUUUUUUUUUUUUUUUUUGAGACGGAGUCUUACUCUGUUGCCAGGCUGGAGUGCAGUGACACGAUCUUGGCUCACUGCAAUCUCUGCGUCACGGGUUUAAGUGAUUCUCCUGCCUCAGCCUCCUGAGUAGCUGGGACUACAGGCGUGCACCACCACGCCCGGCUAAUUUUUGUAUUUUUAGUAGAGACGGGGUUUCACCAUGUUGGCCAGAAUGGUCUCAAUCUCCUGACCUCGUAAUCCACCCACGUUGUUCUCCCAAAGUGCUGGGAUUACAAGGUGUGAGCCACCGCACCCGGCCCAAACAUAUUCUUAUACAAUUCUCUUCUUAGACAUAGGGUUUGAAAACAUUUUAUCUCACAUUGUAAUUAUUUUUUCAUUUUCUUGAAAGUCUACUUUGAUACAGGAAUAUUUGUGAAUUUUAUGAAGUACAGCUUAUCUAUAUUUUCUAUUAUACUUGUGGUUUUGGUAUGAUAUCUAUAAAAUCAUUGCCUAACCCAAGGUCACAAAGCCUCAGUCCCAUAUUUUCUCCUACGUGUACUAAACUUUUGGCUCUUAUAUUUAGGUCUUUGAUCCAUUUAGGGUUAACUUUUAUAAAUGGUGUGAGGGAGGGGACUAACUUCAGUCUGUACAUGUGAACAUCAAUCUGUCCCAGGACAUUUUUGAAAAGACUAUUCACUCCCCAUUGAAUUGCCUUGUCUCCCUUGUCAAAGUCACAACAAUUACUGUCCUCAUUUUUGUAUCUAGUCACAUGUUCCUAGUUAGUAACUAUAACUACCUUCUUCUACUACCCAUUCUGUAUUCCCUUAGCUUUCAGCAAGCAACUCAGUUGGUCUUGAUUCUUUAUAUGGGGCAAUGACCCAAACUUUCCUUCCUGAAGGAAUUGGGCCAUUGGCAGCUGUGCCCGAAUUGGGUUGUUGUAGUUUUCCAUUAAAUUAAUCACAGGGCAUGAUAGUAGGUAGCACUGAAGACACUCUAGGAGAUCCCAUGUAUUCCAGAAGUAUUAUUUCUUAGUUCUGUGGAGUAGAAGCAAUUAACCCUUGGUAGUCAGGAUCAACCACCUCUGCCAGCAUGGUAACUCCCUUCUUUGCCUGUCUAUUCAGAGGCAUGAGGAGCUCAGAGUGGACAGGGACUAUCUUAACUUCCAGUUCAGUAGAAUCAUUUCUUUGUAUCGUGGGGGAUGCAUUCCUCCUUUUGGGACCAAGACUUCUAGACCAGCAGAGCAUAAAAUUGAGGGACAGGAAAUGAAAAUUUUGCUGGUGUGUCACUAGGGGUAAUAGUGAUGAUGAGAACCAACUGGUGUGGGAGACCAUGAGUUGGAUAAGGCACUCUGUAAGUCCAGACAGUAGUGUGAUUUUUAUGAAGUACAAUUUAUCAGUGGUGAUAGGAACAUUGAGGGUAGGAGGGGAAAUUCUCAUACAUAGUGUCUGUUUCAGUGAGAACAAGACACUGCCUCUUCUAUGAUGGAGGUGGUUCAGAGUCACAGCCAGGUUACCUUGGGAGUGGAAGUCCAUGUUGCAGAGCCCAGGCAUCACCUCCACCCCUGCCACCAUGGCCACUGUAUUCAUGAGCCCAUUGAGCAAUGACAGGGGUGGCUGGGGAAAGAGGCUGAGUGGUGUCCACAGAACAGGUCAUCCUAUCUGCUUGAUUAUUGAAAUCCUUCUCUACCAAGGCCACCCUUUGGAGAGCAUUUACAUAAUACUCAAUGCACUCUUGCUUUUGGUUUACUCCUUUACUAGGUGAAACCAGUCCUAGUGGCUCAUAACUGGGUUUUCCUAUCAUACUUGUCCUCAGUCCAUAGGUGAAACAACAAAUGUAGGGAUGCUGAAAGUUGCUGAGUAUGUGUCUAUUCCAACCACAGGGUGGGUUCAGGGACACAUUGGAUCCACUGUGAAACAGACAUGAGCUCACACUCCAUCCACCAGCUAACCUCCAUAAGUCCCUACUCUGGUGGACCACAGUGAUGUUUUUGGUCUCUGGGAAUUCCUGUCAAAUCAGAGCCAGUGUCCAGUAAUUCCCCAAAUAUCUGAGAAUUUUCUUUUCUCUAAGUCACAGUCAUCCUGGUAGAAGGCUGUAGGUCCCUUUGGGGAAGACUGGGAAAAAGAUUAACUAUGUAAGUUUUUGGCAACGUAGCAGCGUACUUCCCCAAGAUCACCCAGCCUCCCCUUCACUUAGGGGUUGUGGGCCUGUGAACUGGCUCAAGUCUGGGAAUUGAUUGAGGGUUUAGAUCUGUGUUUCAUUAAUUUGAGUUAGUCUUUUAUUCAGUUGACCUAGAAUUCUUCAUUUUUUAAAGAACAACUAAGACUUUGGUACAGCCCAUUAGCUCUCCCCGUGGAUACCAUGGACUACACAAUGCCAUGGGUUUCUGUGAGUCAAACCAUUCUGACUGCUGCUUUGACACUGCUUUCCACUGUAGUGACCACACCCACCUCAUCUUUGGUGAUUAAGGACAGCCCAUGUUCCCUGCCACCCCAGGAUUCAAUUAUCCUCAUUUUAUUUAAAGAUCCCAGUCCAGUGGCUGCAGUUGCUGCUGUAACAUUUUGCCUACUGAGAGCACGAGCUCAAAGCUCUUCCAGGAUACUGGGCUCCUCUCACAAUAUUCUUUCUCAUGAUCGUUGUGAGAAGUAUGUUCUGUAGACCCUCCAGUGUGAGUGAGCAGGUCUGACAUAAUAAAUCCAGUCUCCCUGAGUUUUUGCAUACCUUCCUGUACACAUAAACCAAGGAAGUUGUGACAUCUCAACUUUAUGUACCUUAGGUAAACUCUGAUUCUGUUUCAGCCAACCAACCAAGUAACCAAACAAAUAAGCAAACAGCCAACCAAUCAACCAACAAGCAAGCAAGCAACAGACCAACCAAACAAGCAAGCAAGCAAGCAAGCACCAACCAACCAAGCAAGCAACCAACCAAGUAACCGAUCAAACCAACCCUUGGAGCCCUUUCUAAAGCUUUGACCUACAACCCUGAAUCCAGAAUCUCUGUUUAGUGGGCCAACAUUAAUAAAUUUAGCCUAAUCCAACUUUAUGUUACUUCCACCAUGGUGGCACACACUUAAUAUCCAUUCCCAUGUAUAUUCUCCAGAUUUCUUUCUGUAUAAAUUGUGUGUGUGUGUGUGUGUGUGUGUAGAAAGAGAGCAUCAACUGAAAAAUCACACAAUUUUAUAAAUUUAGAAAAGAGAGCUUUAUUUCUUAUAAAGGUUUGCAGCCUGCAAGGUGGCCAUUAUGACAGGCUGGGAAGUGUGGCCUACAGCCAAGGCCAGAGGCAGGCCCUUCCAGGGAGGGAAGGAGAGGACGGGAAUUUGAGCCGAAUGAGUUGACUACAUGUACAUACUCAAUAGGAUAUCAGAGGAGCUAUAUCAUUUUAUGAGAAUACUCAUAAAAGAGGUCCUAACACAUGCAUAUUGAAUAAACAUGCAUGUUCAUUCUGGGGUGGAGACUUGACAUUUAAAUGUGUUAUAAUUAGGCCCUACACAUCAAAAAGUGAAGCAGGGAAUGAAGGUACUCAGCCUCUGUAAAGGCACAGCCUCUAAAACUGGCCAGAACCAGUCCAUGGAGGAUGGUCUCUUAUCAGGAGAAAGUUACUGAAAUCAGUCCCUUGUCCAGUGAAAGCUGUCGUUAAGGUCGGUGGGGCAGGAGAUCAGUUACUCAGUGUCUGUGAACUGGGUGAGUUGUAAUUGUUUUAAUCUUGCUUCUCUCAUAGCCAGUGCUUGCUUGGCUGCUAGAGAAAAAUAAAAACUAUGUGGUAGUUAGAAUCUAGUUUAUUCUUUAAGAGUAGGGUACAAGACUUAACCCUUGCCUGGCAUGGCCCUAGGUCCUGUUUAUAAUUUGGGGUCUUGUUGCCACAAAGAAUCUGUUCUGUCAGUCUCAUGAUCUCUAUUUUAACAUUAAUGCUGUUCAGUUGUUGGGUCUAAACCAUAAGAGGGAGAGAGGUACAGGGAGGUAUGUCUGACCUCCUGUCCUGUCAUGGCCAAGAACUGAAUUUUAAGAUUUAUUUGAGGUUCUGUUGGCCAACAGGGGGUCUGCUAAGUUGGGUGGGGGGCUUAGGAUUUUAUUUUUAGUUCUCAAGGGAGAUGAAAUACUUUAAUCCAUUGGCCCCAGUGACUAUUGGACUAACAUGGCUAUGAUCUGUCAGACAGACUUCAGGCUGGCACCCAGGCAAAAUUCUGUACUGUAGUAAAUGCAUCAUGCACAUUUGUAACAACAUGUACAUAACAAUGUCACAAAAUACUUUCACGGUGACACCUAGAUUAGUGUUCUGUUGAAUAGCUGAUGAUAUAAACUGGCUCAUUUGAUGCCAAGACUGUCCAUCACCACCAUACCAAGGUCAUCACUGAUCAGAGGCCUAACCCAAGGAGGGGGUCAUGUGCAGACCCAGCUGUGGGGAGGAAAGAUGCUGCAGAGGAGACGGAUGCCCACAGAGGCCCCUGAGCGGAUACCAUGCUCACUAAGUGGGCUGACCCCACAUUGGACACCGCUGCAUCCAUGUCCAUCACACAACACAGCUGCCGUUUCUUCUGCCUGCUUAUGGGAAAGUCCCCUCUUCUCCUCCGUUUUCUUCUCUUCCUGCCCUAUCACACCGUGCACUUCUCCCUUUCCUUAAAGAACCACCAUCAACUUUAGGAGGAGGGAAAGGGGUGGCUCUGGCAGGAAAAGCCAGAAUCCCCUCUAGCCAGCAGAGAGAGAGGAAUGGCUGCAUGUUUUCUCCCCCAGUCCAAGGCACUGGGUCUUGGCUGGGUUGCAGGUUCCAAGCUGCUCUCCUGCUGUGUCGGUGAGUUCUGGCCAACCUGCAACCUCCUGAUGUGGCCAUUGCAGUUCAUCGAGUCUUCAGGGACUCCCCAUGGCCUGGAGUACUUUGCCUUGCUUACAUGGGAGAGGAGAAUGGAUUUAUAGAGAACAUCAUCUAAAUCCAACUUGACCAUUGUGUGGCCACACUUGCUAGAUUGCUAUAGUCUAAAUCUAGCAUUGUAGAAAGACGGGGGAGCUUGGAGCUGCGCAAACCCAGGUCUGGAUGGAACUGGCUCCUUAGCUUGGAAGGUGAAUGAUCCUGGCAGGACUCUUAGCCUCCCUGGGUCUCAAUUUCUUUAUCUGUUUCAUGGGAAUGAGGAUCUCUGCUGGGUGGUUGGGUGAUGUGGGGGCUGUGUGAAAACAGCUUGUCAAUACAAGCCAAAAUAGAAAUAUUUCUCCACAGAGUAUGAAGGUCAAAUGAGAGAAUACAUUUAAAUUAAAUGGAAAAUUAAAAUGGUAAAAAAUGCAAAGCUGUAUUGAAAGUUCCGAGCUUCUCUAUAAGGAGCUUUUUGACUAUGUAAGAAUCCUGUACUCGUUCCCCCUAAAUAUAAAAAAAAAGUUGAAGGAGGCAGAAGGGAGAGUGAUGCACGAUGGGCAAGGACUUCACCUGCUGUUGCUGGCUUUGAGGAUGGAGGAAGGAGGCUACAAACCUAGAAGUUGGAGCCCCUAGAAGCUAGAAAAGGCAGGGACCCGAUUCUUUACUUGAGCCUCCAGAAGGGACACAGCCCCGCCAGCACCUUGACUUUAGCCCGGUGAGAUCCUCUUAGGACUUUUGGCAACCAGAACUAUAAAACAGAAAUGGAAGCCACUGAGUCUGUAGCUGUUUGUUGCAGCAGCAAUAGAAAACUAAUGCAGAGCCCAAGAAAUCACUGGUGAUGAGAUCAGGAAAGUGGGCUCAGGAGGUCUGGAUCUGUGAUGAGAUGGGGGAAGUGGGCUCAGGAGGUCUGGAUCUGUGAUGAGAUGGGGAAAGUGGGCUCAGGAGAUCUGGAUCUGUGAUGAGAUGGGGAAAGUGGGCUCAGGAGGUCUGGAUCUGAGUUGGGGAUCUGGAGUGGAAGGGGAAUUCAUUUGUUCAUUGUCUAUCCUUUUGCAUUGAUUGAAUUUUUUUCUAUAUAUAUAUGUGAAUUUUCACAAUAAAAU
Long non-coding RNA from Gorilla gorilla gorilla (western lowland gorilla), 6482 nucleotides. RefSeq lists it as uncharacterized. The record is from RefSeq and is a predicted model, not a curated record. NCBI's taxonomy places the organism in Eukaryota, Metazoa, Chordata, Mammalia, Primates, Hominidae. The transcript has 2 exons.